AAGUCGUAACAAGGUUUCCGUAGGUGAACCUGCGGAAGGAUCAUUAUCGUAUCUCUGGCGAGGUCGGUCGCCCUGCUCCGGUCGAGAGGCCGUGCAGCGGGCGACCGGUCGAGUCAAACCUUCACAAACCCAACGUGCACCUUCACGGCGGAGGGUCCGCGGGCGAGAGCCUGCAGGCCCGAAGCCGUAUCAAAAACUCCAAAUCGAAAAAGAAUGACUGCGUCCUUUGAGUCGCCUAAAUUUGUAACAACUUUCAACAACGGAUCUCUUGGCUCUC
Molecule: unclassified non-coding RNA, 277 nt
Filed under: air metagenome
Description: partial contains small subunit ribosomal RNA, internal transcribed spacer 1, and 5.8S ribosomal RNA
Rfam family: Eukaryotic small subunit ribosomal RNA (bases 1-46)
Source: RNAcentral